AUACGGAGGAUGCGAGCGUUAUCCGGAUUCAUUGGGUUAAAGGGUACGUAGGUGGCCCGGUAAGUCAGUGGUGAAAACCUGCCGCUUAACGGUAGGCGUGCCAUUGAUACUGUCGGGCUUGAGUGCAGUUGAGGCAGGCGGAAUGUGUAGUGUAGCGGUGAAAUGCAUAGAUAUCACAAAGAACUCCGAUUGCGCAGGCAGCUUACUAAACUACAACUGACGCUCAGGCACGAAGGCGUGGGUAUC
RNAcentral lists this ribosomal RNA (246 nucleotides) under uncultured bacterium. RNAcentral describes it as "partial 16S ribosomal RNA". It matches the Rfam family "Bacterial small subunit ribosomal RNA", at positions 523 to 769 of the family's 1533-position model. The record is from RNAcentral.